CAUGGGUUCUUUUGUUCCAAAUUGAAAUCUAUCUUGUACCUUCAAUCUUGUCGUCUAAGCCCUGCCAAUGGCUUACUUGGCCCUCCUAACAUUUUUUUUUUUUUAAGCAAACAGUUUGGACUUGUAACUGAAAAUGGCCAUUUUUCCUAUGGACCAGAUUUCCGCUGUUUACUUAAUCCAGAGGCACAGUGGUUCUCCUUAUCUCCAUCCCUCCAGGCCGGUGACAGGAGACCCCAGGCAGUGUGCGAACCCGUCAGAAAUGACACAGGUGCUGAGAGCAACCCCUGCUCAGGAACCUGCACAGGUCAGGACAUCCCAGAGGUGGAAACAACCCAAAAGCCAUCCUAGGGGGUGGGGGGUGAAUAAACGGACCGUGGAACAUCCAUUCCUCUGUGGUCGACUAGUCCAUGCUGUGGCUUCAAGUCCCAAUCGCGGUUUUGGUGGGGUGUACUUUUUAUUCCUCUUUUUGCAUUAAAAAUUUUAUUCUUGAUUCUUCUAUCAAGGUCGUUUUAGGACAAAAGCGUCCUCCCAGACGCACGGAGGCAAAAGGG
This 551-nucleotide long non-coding RNA is filed under the name Sus scrofa (pig). RNAcentral describes it as "lncRNA (ENSSSCG00035008103.1)". The record is from RNAcentral. Lineage: Eukaryota; Metazoa; Chordata; Mammalia; Artiodactyla; Suidae.